This 531-nucleotide long non-coding RNA is filed under the name Dunaliella salina. RNAcentral's name for it is "long non-coding RNA (DSAL_LNC000010)". The record is from RNAcentral. Lineage: Eukaryota; Viridiplantae; Chlorophyta; Chlorophyceae; Chlamydomonadales; Dunaliellaceae.
GGGCCUGGCUGCCUGGAUUUCCGCCAACUACAUGGGCAUGGGCAAGAGUGCAGCGGAUGCGCUGCCGGAGUUGCGCCGCAAGGGCAUCACCGCCAGCGGCAACAACUAUGUGAUGGGCGGCCAAGUGAUGAGCGCGCCAGAGAUCGCCAGCGCUCUGCGGUUGCAGGUGAUUGCAUUAUCUUCUCUGGAAAGCCUUGCUCAUACCUGUUGGUGUUUUGUUGGAUUGCUUUCAUAAAGGCUGGCUUCAUGCAGUGCUUCGUGACAGAAACGUGCACGUAGAAGGCCACAAAAAGCAAGUGAAGCAAUGUACUCUUGUCGGCAUGCAGGUAGGUCUCGAUGCCUGACCGCAGACUAGGUUGAUGGAAUCUCUGCAGAAUGUGUUAUUCAGUUGAAAAAGAAAAGAAAAGAAUGUGGGCAGUGAAAACACUCCCCACAUCAGUAGAUCAAGUGACUGAAAGCAUGUUCUAGUCUUUACAUCUCACUGGCAUUGUGCAGGCCCGCACCCCCAGCCGACCAUCAUCCCCUCAGCCA